Molecule: ribosomal RNA, 253 nt
Filed under: uncultured bacterium
Lineage: Bacteria
Description: partial 16S ribosomal RNA
Rfam family: Bacterial small subunit ribosomal RNA
Source: RNAcentral
UACGUAGGGUGCAAGCGUUGUCCGGAAUUAUUGGGCGUAAAGAGCUCGUAGGCGGUCUGUCGCGUCGGCUGUGAAAACUCGGGGCUCAACUCCGAGCUUGCAGUCGAUACGGGCAGGCUAGAGUUCGGCAGGGGAGACUGGAAUUCCUGGUGUAGCGGUGAAAUGCGCAGAUAUCGGGAGGAACACCGGUGGCGAAGGCGGUUCUCUGGGCCUGUACUGACGCUGAGGAGCGAAAGCGUGGGGAGCGAACAGG